Long non-coding RNA from Ictalurus furcatus (blue catfish), 5986 nucleotides. RefSeq lists it as uncharacterized. The transcript has 3 exons. The record is from RefSeq and is a predicted model, not a curated record. NCBI's taxonomy places the organism in Eukaryota, Metazoa, Chordata, Actinopteri, Siluriformes, Ictaluridae.
GAACUUAGAAAAUUAGAACUGGAGUAAGAAGAAGCGGCGUCUGAUUGGAUGAUGACCUGUCGUCACUUCCGCCUGAUUUCAACGUUAUAUGCGUGAUGCAGCAAGUGUAGCGAAACAGAAACGUCGAGAAAACGCACAAGCGAACAUCUCUCGCUUUCGUUAGCGGUUUAGUUUUUGAUUCCGCAAAACUAAACUAUCUUUUGUUUAAGUUAUUUCCUUAUUAUAAAUAACGUACUUGUUUUAGUACGCGCGUCGGUAUGUGUAUUGACGCCAUGGAAACAGAAGGGAGAAAGCAGCGCGAGAGCCGCUCGAACGGGUGGAGAAGGAGAAGGAAGACGGGUGUUGUGGAAGACGCUGUACGGAAGUCGUCGAGGAAGCCUGGACGUCGUUCUCACAGCCUGGCGUCGGUGAAGGAGAAGCAGAAACAUUCAGACGUGCUCCCGUCGGGAGCGAUGGCGCCUGGAAAUACCACGCAGUACCUCAUGGAGCAAGUCUACAGCGACCUGAAAAUUACCGCGCUGUCUCCUAAACAGAGUAACUGUUUACCUCCUCAACACGAACAAACUUAUUCCUACAACUCUCGGUAUACUAAUGAGGACACUCUGGACUUUCAGCACCGGGACUUCGAGAGCGUGUUCUUUCAGAAUGAGAUCUGAGUCGACGCCAUUUUGACGGCCGCCAUCUUGGGUCGGGGAAAAAAAAACCAAGAAGUCCGGAAACUUACCGGCUGAACCUGAUUAAAAUUAAACGACACGCAUGCGCAGCAGGAGGCUCGUGGCUCUGCGGCACCAGAGUGUAAGCCCCGCCCACGCCUGCUCAGACACAUGUGCACACAGGUAAACCUGCUCCACAAAGGUGUGUGUGUAUGCUCUAUAUUGUGUUUGUGUUCUGCUGUGCAUCUGUGUUCGAGAGACUUUUGCAGGUCUGCUGCUCCAUCGCUGAUGGCUUUCAGCUGAACUUUCUGAGCAGCGGCGGUCAGAAGGACACGAGGCCGAAAGGCUCCCAGUCUUCAGGCCUGGGGUAACUCUUUUAUUCUGAUCACUCUUACUUUACUCUGAUGCACUGAUGGACAGGACGUGACCGGCUGAUGGACACGUAAAGUGACCAACCGCAGUUUACGUGAUGUAUGGGGCGGGUAAAUGAUAAUACCGUAAUAAAUUAAGGUUAGAGUUUAUUUUCUCACACAGAGAAUGUAGCUUGUACUUUGUUGUUAAUAUGCAACACUACACUGUUUACACUUACUUUCAAAUAAAAUAAUUCAAUAAGUCUCUGUAUGUUCUGAAUUCAACAGUCUGAUUGUAUUGUAAACAUCUCUGUUAAGGGAGCAGCAAGUGGAAAAAGUUCGUGACUUAACACUUUUUUGGAAACAAUAAAUAAGUUAUCAUUGCAUGUAUUAUCGGAAGUAUUGAUUAUUCCUCAUUAUCCACGAUGGAGUGGGAGAUGGUGACUGAUUCUGAUAACGAGGAAACCAAUUACCUGUGGCCUUUUUUUGUUGAAGUUCAUGUGCCUUAAGGCAGUGUUUUCCCAACAGGGGUACUCUGUAUAAAAAUCCUUUAAACAUUUCUAAAAUGUGAGUAAAAUAUUGUAGGUGAAAUAAUAAGAUACUCACAUGCAACAAUAAUAAGUGUGUAUAUGUAAUUAUUAAAAAUAAAUCAUAUAAAACCCAGUAAAUCUUGAGAUUGUCACUGGUCACAUUACAACAAAAUAUAGGAUAGCUAUAUGUAUGACCUUUUUUUAUUAAGAUUAUUAAACAUGGACCUUUUGCUUUCAUUAAAUAGACUUAUUAUUUAUUGUAGGCUCAUUUUGUAAACAUUUUUCAUUACUGUAUACAUAAGCAAAAAGUGGGAGCUUCCUGCAAAUGUCAUUUCUCACAUUUACAAAAUCAGGUGAUUAUGUUCAUCCAUCAUAUGUAUAGAGACAAAAGGAAGUUAUUACAGGAUGUUCGCUCUGUAUGGCCACCUGUCCAUGUAAACGUCUCUGUGUAUAAAGAGAAAAGUAUGAGGUUCAAUCCCUGCGUUUUUGUGAAGAUACUGAUGAAUGAAAACAUGGUGCACUCCCCAAGAACACUUUCAGCUUUGGCUUUAUUUUUUCAACAGAAUGUACAAAGCUAAUCCAAAUCACUAUUUAAAAAAAAACCUAUCCAUGAAUUUUGUGCCAUCUGGCUGUCUCUAUGGUCCUGCAUGGAUGGAUCAUAGAGAUACCUGUAGCCUACAAUCGUACCUUUCGGCAAGAUUCGCCUCGAAGUCAUUCAAUUCCAACGCCACGUGGUAAGUUACAAAAAAAAAGGCGUGCAAACACGAAAAUGCUGCCUUAAGGAAUCAACUAAUAAAUCUUACACCUUGUUAUAUGUAAUCUUUGCAAACCAAAGAUUAAAAUACCUCUAAUAUGACGUUCAAGCACAAGUUGAAAGACGUGUAUAGAAAAUGAGCGUGAUUGUUCUGUUAAAUUGUUUCAUUUCUUUAUGCAGAAUUAUACACAGUUGUUCAUAAGUUGGUUCACAAUCAUGACGUACCAAAAUUGUUGCCCAAUUAAGUAAUUGGAGUAAUUAGGUUGGAGUUUUCCAACCUAAAUUAAAUGUUUAUUUGCUUUGUUAAUAAUUAAAAAAUAUAUAUUUUGUGAAUAAUACACUCCACAUUGUAUAUUUGUAUGAGAUUUUUAUAGGCCAAUACUGUUGUUUUUAACUCGGAGACUACGACACGGCCGGACCAUAGGUGGCAGUACAUGCACGUCAAACGCCGCCAAUAAAUCCACAGAAGAAGAAGCGGCGUCUGAUUGGAUGAUGAUCUGUCGUCACUUCCUCCUGAUUUCAACGUUAUAUGCGUGAUGCAGCAAGUGUAGCGCAACAGAAACGUCGAGAAAACGCACAAGCGAACAUCUCUCGCUUUCGUCAGCGGUUUAGUUUUUGAUUCCGCAAAACUAAACUAUCUUUUGUUUAAGUUAUUUCCUUAUUAUAAAUAACGUACUUGUUUUAGUACGCGCGUCGGUAUGUGUAUUGACAUCAUGGGAACAGAAGGGAGAAAGCAGUGCGAGAGCCGCUCCAACGGGUUUAGAAGGAAGACGGGUGUUGUGGAAGCCGCUGUACGGAAGUCGUCGAGGAAGCCUGGACGUCGUUCUCACAGCCUGGCGUCGGUGAAGGAGAAGCAGAAACAUUCAGACGUGCUCCCGUCGGGAGCGAUGGCGCCGAGAAACACCACGCAGUACCUCAUGGAGCAAGUCUACAGCGACCUGAACAUUACCGCGCUGUCUCCUAAACAGAGUAACUGUUUACCUCCUCAACACGAACAAACGUAUUUCUACAACUCUCGGUAUACUAAUGAGGACACUCUGGACUUUCAGCACCGGGACUUCGAGAGCGUGUUCUUUCAGAAUGAGAUCUGAGUCGACGCCAUUUUGACGGCCGCCAUCUUGGGUCGGGGGAAAAAAACCAAGAAGUCCGGAAACUUACCGGCUGAACCUGAUUAAAAUUAAACGACACGCAUGCGCAGCAGGAGGCUCGUGGCUCUGCGUCAUGUGCCGCUGUCCCCAGAGUGUAAGCCCCGCCCACGCCUGCUCAGACACACGAGCACACAGGUAAACCUGCUCCACAAAGGUGUGUGUGUAUGCUCUAUAUUGUGUUUGUGUUCUGCUGUGCAUCUGUGUUCGAGAGACUUUUGCAGGUCUGCUGCUCCAUCGCUGAUGGCUUUCAGCUGAACUUUCUGAGCAGCGGCGGUCAGAAGGACACGAGGCCGAAAGGCUCCCAGUCUUCAUGCCUGGGUAACUCUUUUAUUCUGAUCACUCUUGCUGUACUCUGAUACACUGUGAGUUCACUGUGGAGAUGUUUGAAAGGUAUGAGAAACCAGGCUUGUGCACUUUGUAUAUUAAUUUGUGUUUAAAGAAAAUGUAUUAAAGUUAUUUUGCUUACACUUUUGGCAUGUUUUCUGACUUUGCGUAAGGUCCAGGAGAAAUGCUGUUAUUCAGGGUAUUUCUAUAAAUUAUUAAUGUGGGGGGAAAUAUAUUUUUUUAACUGUAGAGAAAAUUACUUUACAAACAGUGACCCAUUGAUACCAUUUCACAAACCAUGCGCAAUUGCAACAGUACAUCUGGAAUAAGAAAACAGUACCAAAAAUCCCCCAGGUAAGUUAUUGGUGUAAAACGGUAUGCAAGGUGCCCACUAUAGGUUUUUCCUAAACAAAAAAAGUUGUGAAGCAAAGAUCAAAGCUUUGGGAACACGGAAAUAUCUUCAGUGAUUCAAAGUACAAUUCUUUUUAUGGCCUUUUCCUUUGUAAAAGCUCGGAUGUUCUGACAUCUUGAACACCUACGAGGGUUCUGCCUGACUCAACACCCUGACCCCCCCCCCCCAACGUUGCAUAAUCAUUAAUGGGUGGGUGUCUGUUAGUGAUGAGAAGAUCAGAUCAUUUUACUUGGGUCUUUGAAUUUGAAUCUCGUGCUGCCAAAUGAACCGAGCUUCGUCAUUUUGUUCAUUUGAGCAGAAUUGUGUUGAAAUGUAAAUGUUAGCUUUAGUAGCCAAAUUCCCCCUCAGCACGCUUACAUGGGUGUUUAUGGCGUUUGGCAGACACACUUAUCCAGAGUGACUUAGAAUUAUCUGUCUCUUUCUUGUAUACACAACUGAGCAUUUGAGGGUCAAGGGCCCGGCAGUUGCAUCUUGGGUUUAAACUCACGACCUUCCUAUCAGCAUCUUGACCACCAAGCUACCACUUCCACACAAGGACAAAUUGAGAUAGUAUUAAUUCAAUGUUCAACUGGGUCUUCUGGUCCGAGUCGUGCAGUCUUCAGUCACAUGUUAGUCGGGUAGGCUAUGUACAGGAAACAGAAAUGACUAGGUGUAGGAGAGGCUUGGGAAGUGAAUUUUAAUCAUUGUUUCCUGUGCAGAGAGAGAGCGUGCGCAGCACAUUCAGUGUGUGAGAACAUAAGAGACAUGGUCACUUCUAACAUUCUUUGAAUGAUUGUUUUGCAUGUAAAUACAGCAGACAUCCAGUGUUUGUGCGUAGCUAAUUACAAGUAGCUACAUUACUAACUUAACUACACUUUCAGUAGUGUGACAGCUUUGUUACUUUAAAAAAUAGUCUAGCUUUCCAAGUAACGAGGUACUUUUUCCAAACGAGUAGGGAUUGUAGGAACCAAGCUAUGAAUGAGAAUAUGUAGGCUAUAAAUCUAAAUUGAAUCUCCAUAUUUUUUUUACUUUUAAUUAAGAUUAUUAAACAUGGAUCUUUUGCUUUCAUUAAAUAGACUUAUGUAUGGUAGGCUCAUUUUGUAAACAUUUUUCAUUACUGUAUACAUAAGCAAAAAGUGGGAGCUUCCUGCAAAUGUCAUUUCUCACAUGUACAAAAUCAGGUGAUUAUGUUCAUCCAUCAUAUGUAUAGAGACAAAAGGAAGUUAUUACAGGAUGUUCUCUCUGUAUGGCCACCCGUCCAUGUAAACGUCUCUGUGUAUAAAGAGAAAAGUAUGAGGUUCAAUCACUGUUUUUGUGAAGAUAAUGAUGAAUGAAAACAUGGUGCACUCCCCAAAAACACUUUCAGCUUUGGCUUUAUUUUUUCAACAGAAUGUACAAAGCAAAUCCAAAUCACUAUUUAAAAAAAAAAAAACCCUAUCCAUGAAUUUUGUGCCAUCUGGCUGUCUCUAUGGUCCCGCAUGGAUGGAUCAUAGAUACCUGUAGCCUACAAUCGUACCUUUCGGCAGGAUUCGCCUCGAAGUCAUUCAAUUCCAUGCGGUAAGUUUAAAAAAAAAAAAAAAAAAAAAAAAAAAAGGCGUGCAAACACGAAAACGCUGCCUUAAGGAAUCAAAUAAAUCUUACACCUUGUUAUAUGUAAUCUUUGCAAACCAAAGAUUAAAAUUCUUCUAAUGCGAAAGACACGUUUAGAAAAUGAGCGUGAUUGUUCUGUUAAAUUGUUUAAUCUGUUUAUGCAGAAUUAUACACAGUUAUUCAUAAGCUGGUUCACAAUCAUGACGUACCAAAAAUGUCACCCAAUUAAGUUGCUUCAGUGUAGCU